This 119-nucleotide ribosomal RNA is filed under the name Triticum aestivum (bread wheat). The record is from RNAcentral. Lineage: Eukaryota; Viridiplantae; Streptophyta; Magnoliopsida; Poales; Poaceae.
GGAUGCGAUCAUACCAGCACUAAAGCACCGGAUCCCAUCAGAACUCUGAAGUUAAGCGUGCUUGGGCGAGAGUAAUACUAGGAUGGGUGACCUCCUGGGAAGUCCUCGUGUUGCACUCC